RNAcentral lists this long non-coding RNA (3031 nucleotides) under Oryza brachyantha (malo sina). Its description in RNAcentral is "long non-coding RNA (OBRA_LNC002089)". Lineage: Eukaryota; Viridiplantae; Streptophyta; Magnoliopsida; Poales; Poaceae. The record is from RNAcentral.
UGCUGCUCGAAUCUUCUCAAAUCUCAACUCGAAUUAAUCACAUACACACCAUUUUUUUGGAGAACAUCAGGAAUCAUUAAAAGGCAUUUCGAAACCGAAAGCCACAACGCGAGUGGGGGAUCGGCAGCAGCAGAUACGUGCACAUCAUCAGAAGCAUCAGAAAAAUUACAGAGAAUCAGCUUUGCGAGUCCGGAUCUUUGCACAGAAAGGCUGAGCAGCCGUCAUGGUCAAGCCAGUGAACCACACACACUAGAGCAUCCCCCUACCCCCGAUCAGCUACAGGACUUGCCGGCCGGACCUCCGAGUUGACCUCAGAACAAGAAGGCCGUCGGCGCGAACGCCGGCAACACCGUGGGUGCCCCGAAGUGCCUGCGGGUACAGAGACAGAAUGCACCUUGGUCAGUAGGAGUAUCAGAAUCCAGAAAUGAUCAAAAUGAAGGCUGCAUAGUAAUAACACAUGUUGGAUACUGAUGCUCUUGUUACUUUUGACCAAAUACUUGUGUGCAAGGUGAUUUAAGCUUGAACGUCUGCGUUAGCAGGGUUCGUGGCACCGUCAGGGGAGGGGUUACCUUUCUACAGUAACGGCAAUAGCCGGUGGGUGGGUCUAAUUGACGAACAUCCGUCGUCCGUUGUCUAUUAAUCCGCACGACCUUAUAUGUUUAGAAAGUUUAUAUAUAUAAAUUUAUUAUAUUUUAUAUUGGCAUAGAAAGUUUAUAUAUAGAAAAUUUAUAGAUAAAAAUAAAUUUAACAUAUAAAACAUCUAGUAAAAUUAUAUGUAUAAAGAUUAUACACUAAAGACUAUCUAUAGAAAGUUUAUAUACAGUGUUUGCGCGGGCUAAUGGACGUGCACAUGUCCGCAUGUUAGCCUUUUCGGUAGCUGGCUGGUUAGGGUUACCGAGCAAAACCAACAAAAACAGGACAAUUUACCCAGAGAAUUGAUUAAUUUGUUCGGUAAACUAUCCUUAGGGCAAGUACAACAGUGUAAACACUGUUGUUGUCUAUUUGAUACAUAGAUAGCUAAAUAGACAGUUUGUAAAAUGUCUUGUUUAUUUAUUUGUCUGCAAACCAUUUAAUGUAUUCUUUGACAUAUAAAUCAAGGUAAUCAGUAGUACUAGCGAAUAGACGAGACGCAGCGUACAACCGUGCUAGCGGUGUCGGUUUGGCAUUGGAGCACGCACCUCUGCCAUUUCUUCGCGAAGAGACACUGUGGUCGUCUGUUAGAUGGGAAGGAUUUUUUUACAAAUUCCAUGACAUACAUACGAUUUAAAGACAGACAUGAUACAUGCCCUAAGACUUGGUCAAUAUACUUAGACGGUUUCCGUUAUUACACCCCGGACAGUACGUCUGCUAUUUACCCUAGGCGUUUGAAUUUUUGCUGAUGCAAUUGGCACAAUGGCAUGGGAGGGACAAGAAGUAGUUGCAGGAGCAGCAUAGCAAGCAUGAAGUGAUGGGGGGGGGGGGGGGGGGGGGGUCACGGCCUUUGCUUGUCGUCUCGGCAGUGUACUGCAGCUUGAGUUUGACUACCAUGCACUAGCGAUAAAAAGGAAGAAAUUUGUACGUGAAGACACCCUCGUUCUUGAUUCUGACAGGGACGGUGAGAAUUGAGAUCGUCUACAUACAUGGUAGAUUCCAUUGGUAGGACACGGUGGUCCAACUAGUUGCGUGGAUUUCAAUAAUUAAUUGUCCAACUAGACUCUAGUUGCAUGGAUUUCAGAGAUUUUUCUUGGGAAUCCAUCAAUGAUGUUCGUGCACAAAUGGAAAGUACUAUGGUAGGCAGGUAAAGAUAGACGAAUUUCCUAGUUUAAGCCAUAUAUGAAUAUCAUGCGACCUUGUUUUAUUGUGAGAAAAAUGGGAAUCGAAAAACUCAACGAUUUUGCAAUUAUUCCCCGGCAGUAUCUAGACGUGGCAUGAGCAUCUUAAAAUUUCAUACUGCUAUAAAAUAAACUCAGCGCAAAAAAUCCUAAAAUCUACUACAAAUUUAAAUAAAAUUUGACCUACAGAAAUAAAAAGUUAAGGAUAAUUAAUUUCACCCUCUUAUUUUUUGUCUAGUGGCAGGAAUGAUACGUACGGUUUCAACUAACCCUAGAACGUCGUCAUCAUCCAUCAAAGUGUAUAGUAGAGCUUAAGCCCUGCAACAUGGCUUAAACAGUUGGAUAAUCAUGAGCUGCGAUGAGUGGCUAUUCAACUGUGUAAAAUGCUGCUAGCUGCAAAAAGGAGCAUUGACCUGGCAAACUUGAUCCCUGUGAACCCAUUUAAUCUACUACUAGUAACUCUUAUCCUGAUCCAACUUCCUGCAAGAUCCAACUGCUAAUCAUGCACGCGACGCAAGCUGAUCAGACCAACAGUUUCAUCAAUUUUUUUAAUCUUUCUAUGUGCAUCAGAUCAUCCAAAAAAAAGAAAACGAAUAGAGAGAGAAGAAGCGGGAUAGGAUUAGAGGCUGACGAGGUAGAAAUGUCAAAAGUCAAAUACUGCGCAGCGUGCGCAUGGAUGGACCGAAGACUCGGAGCCACGUCACACUAGACCAUCCAGAUGGUCCCCACCUGGAAGCGACUGGACAGCGAUCCGACGACGCGGGAGGAGAGUGUCAACGGACACGUGUCGCGAUCGCGCCCGUCCCGAUUCCCUGAUCCAACGGCCAGAAAGAAACACACAGGCGUCCGCGCGCGGGGGGAGGAGAGAGAAGCAGAAGCUCACCGGAAGCCGUCGUAGUCCGCCGACCGGACCCCGCCGGGGCGACGGCCUCGCCUUCGCCUUCACCGUCUUCGCCUUCGCCUUCGUGGCGCUCGACGACACCACCGUGGCGUCCUCGCUUCUCCGCGUGCGCCGCCGCCGCGUCGUCGAUCGCCACCACCACUGCAGCCGGCUCCUCCGCCUCCACCGCCGCCGGCGACGACGGCCGCCGCGCGCGCCUCACGAAGGCGAACAGCUUCAUCCCCCGAUCCGCACUGCCUAGCUUACGAAUCGAAACAAACACAAGACGGCCCUAGCCAAUCUGCGCCAAAUGACACGCCCGCUGUUUUGUAGGGGCGGC